UACGUAGGGUGCAGGCGUUAAUCGGAAUUACUGGGCGUAAAGCGUGCGCAGGCGGUUUGCUAAGAGAGAUGUGAAAUCCCCGGGCUUAACCUGGGAACUGCGUUUCUAACUGGCAGGCUUGAGUGUGGCAGAGGGGGGUGGAAUUCCACGUGUAGCAGUGAAAUGCGUAGAGAUGUGGAGGAACACCGAUGGCGAAGGCAGCCCCCUGGGCUAACACUGACGCUCAUGCACGAAAGCGUGGAGAGCAAACAGG
This 253-nucleotide ribosomal RNA is filed under the name uncultured bacterium. Its description in RNAcentral is "partial 16S ribosomal RNA". It matches the Rfam family "Bacterial small subunit ribosomal RNA", at positions 524 to 776 of the family's 1533-position model. The record is from RNAcentral.